RNAcentral lists this long non-coding RNA (446 nucleotides) under Homo sapiens (human). Its description in RNAcentral is "non-protein coding lnc-FGFBP2-1:2". Lineage: Eukaryota; Metazoa; Chordata; Mammalia; Primates; Hominidae. The record is from RNAcentral.
GACUUUCCAAAUCCAGGAGCAACGCCAGUGGCAACGUAGUGACUCAGGCGGGCACCAAGGCAACGGCACCAUUGGUCUCUGGAUCUGACCUCUCCCUGACAGACAACCAUCUCUUUUUAUAUUAUGCCGCUUUCAAUCCAACGUUCUCACACUGGAAGAAGAGAGUUUCUAAUCAGAUGCAACGGCCCAAAUUCUUGAUCUGCAGCUUCUCUGAAGUUUGGAAAAGAAACCUUCCUUUCUGGAGUUUGCAGAGUUCAGCAAUAUGAUAGGGAACAGGUGCUGAUGGGCCCAAGAGUGACAAGCAUACACAACUACUUAUUAUCUGUAGAAGUUUUGCUUUGUUGAUCUGAGCCUUCUAUGAAAGUUUAAAUAUGUAACGCAUUCAUGAAUUUCCAGUGUUCAGUAAAUAGCAGCUAUGUGUGUGCAAAAUAAAAGAAUGAUUUCAG